Molecule: transfer RNA, 79 nt
Filed under: Araneus ventricosus
Lineage: Eukaryota; Metazoa; Arthropoda; Arachnida; Araneae; Araneidae
Rfam family: tRNA
About the family: Transfer RNA (tRNA) molecules are approximately 80 nucleotides in length. Their secondary structure includes four short double-helical elements and three loops (D, anti-codon, and T loops).
Source: Rfam by way of RNAcentral
GUAGUCGUGGCCAGUGGUUAAGGCGAUGGCCUUGAAAUCCAUUGGAUAUUCCCGCGCGGUUCGAAUCCUGCCGACUACG